CAAUAGCGUAUAUUAAAGUUGUUGCAGUUAAAAAGCUCGUAGUUGGAUUUCGGGGCAGCCUGGCUGGUCCGCCGCAAGGCGAGUACUGGUCAGCCGCCCUCCCUCUCGAAAGCCCCGACUGCUCUUCGUUGCAGUGGUCGGGUAGUUCGGGACGUUUACUUUGAAAAAAUUAGAGUGUUCAAGGCAGGCCUACGCCUGAAUACAUUAGCAUGGAAUAAUGGAAGAGGACCUCGGUCCUAUUUUGUUGGUUUCCAGGGCCGAAGUAAUGAUUAAGAGGGACAGUUGGGGGCAUUCGUAUUUAAUUGUCAGAGGUGAAAUUCUCGGAUUUAUGAAAGACGAACAACUGCGAAAGCAUUUGCCAAGGAUGUUUUCAUUAA
RNAcentral lists this ribosomal RNA (377 nucleotides) under uncultured eukaryote. Its description in RNAcentral is "partial 18S ribosomal RNA". It matches the Rfam family "Eukaryotic small subunit ribosomal RNA", at positions 592 to 976 of the family's 1831-position model. The record is from RNAcentral.